This 680-nucleotide ribosomal RNA is filed under the name Plantibacter flavus. Its description in RNAcentral is "bacterial SSU rRNA". It matches the Rfam family "Bacterial small subunit ribosomal RNA", at positions 79 to 773 of the family's 1533-position model. Lineage: Bacteria; Bacillati; Actinomycetota; Actinomycetes; Micrococcales; Microbacteriaceae. The record is from RNAcentral.
CUUGCUGGGUGGAUUAGUGGCGAACGGGUGAGUAACACGUGAGUAACCUGCCCUUGACUCUGGGAUAAGCGUUGGAAACGACGUCUAAUACCGGAUACGAGCUUCCACCGCAUGGUGAGUUGCUGGAAAGAAUUUUGGUCAAGGAUGGACUCGCGGCCUAUCAGCUUGUUGGUGAGGUAACGGCUCACCAAGGCGACGACGGGUAGCCGGCCUGAGAGGGUGACCGGCCACACUGGGACUGAGACACGGCCCAGACUCCUACGGGAGGCAGCAGUGGGGAAUAUUGCACAAUGGGCGAAAGCCUGAUGCAGCAACGCCGCGUGAGGGACGACGGCCUUCGGGUUGUAAACCUCUUUUAGCAGGGAAGAAGCGAAAGUGACGGUACCUGCAGAAAAAGCACCGGCUAACUACGUGCCAGCAGCCGCGGUAAUACGUAGGGUGCAAGCGUUGUCCGGAAUUAUUGGGCGUAAAGAGCUCGUAGGCGGUUUGUCGCGUCUGCUGUGAAAUCCCGAGGCUCAACCUCGGGUCUGCAGUGGGUACGGGCAGACUAGAGUGCGGUAGGGGAGAUUGGAAUUCCUGGUGUAGCGGUGGAAUGCGCAGAUAUCAGGAGGAACACCGAUGGCGAAGGCAGAUCUCUGGGCCGCUACUGACGCUGAGGAGCGAAAGGGUGGGGAGCAAAC